AGUCUAUGCCAUACCACUCUGAAUGUGCCUGCUCCCCUCUGGUCUGGGAAGCUAAGCAAGGCUAGCAUGGUUAGUACUCGGAAGGGAGAAGACAACAUAAAUCU
This 104-nucleotide ribosomal RNA is filed under the name Otolemur garnettii (small-eared galago). The record is from RNAcentral. Lineage: Eukaryota; Metazoa; Chordata; Mammalia; Primates; Galagidae.